UCAUGGAAACCGCGUUCGGCACCCCCUUCUGGCCCGCGUCGUUCAAACCGACAAAUAUUUCCACUGCGCGGCGACGGAAGCGCUCGAGCGUGUUCGGCCUUUGUACGAAACGGGAGGAGAAGGUGGCGUAACGCUGGCGUAAUAAUUGAGAGAGGCGCAGUAAGAGCGGCGACGGAGCGACAACAGAGGAUCCUUUUGCGCGUGCUUUGACACUUUUUUUUAUUGUGCGCGAAGGUGAAGAAAAAAAAAAAAAAAUCCUCAAUAGUCUCCGUGGAGGUAAGGAAGUGCUGCACAAAUAGAAAAUCACGUUUCUCCUCACGGGCGAUCAAGCAAAAAAAGCAGCGAUUGUAACCCACCGGGCUGAAGUACUCAAACACGAAGACGGCCACGGCGGACACGAUCAGCAGCAUCACAAACAUCAUCACCCACACGUCGGCACUGAAGGGCUCUGCAAGACGACGCCGCGCUUGGCGUCUUCUUACCUAAGAAGGCAGAAGGUGAGACGGUGCCGUUGCUCCGGGAAACCAUGACGCUAAUCCCCGUCUCGAUGAAGGGCACGGAAAAGUCGAUGACCUCUGACCUCUCCUCGUUGAUGGUCACAGAGAAUCAAGCCGAGUUCACAAAGAGGUUGCGCCGCCUUGUUUGGCCUUGGACCUUCACAUCAGACCCGCACCCUGAAAGGUUCAGUUUCACCGCUGAUCUAGAAUCUCCUCCUCCAAGACAAAAUUGAUCAAAAGUGAACUGACAAUUGUCAGAGAAGAAGAAACGUACGUAGCAAGAACCAGCAAACAUUAAAGGUGAAGUUGUUGGCGCUUACGUCAC
Syngnathoides biaculeatus (alligator pipefish) is the source of this 822-nucleotide long non-coding RNA. RefSeq lists it as uncharacterized. The transcript has 5 exons. NCBI's taxonomy places the organism in Eukaryota, Metazoa, Chordata, Actinopteri, Syngnathiformes, Syngnathidae. The record is from RefSeq and is a predicted model, not a curated record.